GUGGUUGUAGCCUAGUGGUAGAGCGCAUGCCUAGCAUGCAUGAGGCACUGGGUUCAGUUCUCAGCAUCACA
Molecule: non-coding RNA, 71 nt
Organism: Ictidomys tridecemlineatus (thirteen-lined ground squirrel)
Lineage: Eukaryota; Metazoa; Chordata; Mammalia; Rodentia; Sciuridae
Source: Rfam